GACUGCAGUUUUGUGAAUGUUUAAUUUGACUCCAUUUCUAAUGUUCUUUUUUCCCCUUUUUAUCUGAGGAUCGCCUCCUAAUUACCAAACAAAAUUCAGAAAAAGAGGAACUUUUGAAUUUUUGCCUUGAUUUCUGCAUUAAUGCUAUUAUGAGAUUUAAAAUACUAUGUCACUCAUGAAACAUCAUUGAAAAAUUAUAAGCCAGUGAUAAACAACAUUAAUUGCAAAGCAAACUAAUUAACUGGUUUGAUUAAAUUGAACAUAAUAAUGCCUCAAAAAAAAAUAGAAUUAAAUUAUAAAAUGGUUCC
RNAcentral lists this long non-coding RNA (308 nucleotides) under Phoenix dactylifera (date palm). Its description in RNAcentral is "long non-coding RNA (PDAC_LNC022764)". Lineage: Eukaryota; Viridiplantae; Streptophyta; Magnoliopsida; Arecales; Arecaceae. The record is from RNAcentral.